This 251-nucleotide unclassified non-coding RNA is filed under the name Eurotiales sp. RNAcentral describes it as "partial contains 5.8S ribosomal RNA, internal transcribed spacer 2, and large subunit ribosomal RNA". The stretch from base 1 to 52 matches the Rfam family "5.8S ribosomal RNA", at positions 103 to 154 of the family's 154-position model. Lineage: Eukaryota; Fungi; Ascomycota; Eurotiomycetes; Eurotiales. The record is from RNAcentral. RNAcentral also lists the same sequence under 2 other names.
AACGCACAUUGCGCCCCCUGGUAUUCCGGGGGGCAUGCCUGUCCGAGCGUCAUUGCUGCCCUCAAGCCCGGCUUGUGUGUUGGGCCCCUGUCCCCGUGGACGGGCCCGAAAGGCAGCGGCGGCACCGCGUCUGGUCCUCGAGCGUAUGGGGCUUUGUCACCCGCUCUGGAGGCCGGGCCGGUGCCUGCCGACCAACCUUGUAUUUUCUCCAGGUUGACCUCGGAUCAGGUAGGGAUACCCGCUGAACUUAA